GUUCUCAAAAAAAAACCAUUGUGACUCUGUUUCAUACAUAUUUCCACCCCCCACCGUACAGCCCUUCUUCAUCAAAAAUAACUGCUCACACACUCAUCAUCUAUUAUACUCUGUCAAAAGCAAAACCCAGAAUAAUCAAUCAUUCACGCUCACCCAUCUACAGAGAGAGAGAGAGAGAGAGAGAGAGAGAGGAGUGAUGGGAGGUAGCGGUGUUGAAAGGUUGUGGUGGUCAGAAGGGGCUAUGGCGGUGGCGAUGACGGUAGCUACGACAGUGGGAGGCAGCAGCUUUGUGUAUGUUCGGGUGUGUGAGAAAUCACCAUUCUUCCUCAAUCACAAACCCUAACUUCCGAUUCUAAUUCAAUCCGCAACUCGUAAAUUGACUGAAACUGAAGCGUUAAGAGUGAGAGCAUCACUGCUGUCAUUGUUCGAUUCAACGUUGUUCUGUUCCGAACUCUUUGUCUGAUUUGUUGAGAUGUGAUUGACUCAGGAUCAUGAAGAAUCAGAUGCAAAAUUCAAGUUUCUUAAGAAGCAUCUUCAAUAGAAUCAAGCUGCGCCUCAAAGAAGGCACGUGAAGAAUGAUCGCAUAUAAAACUCCUUUUUGGAUGGCUGAAGCCUAGGAACACCAUGCAGCUGAACGCCUUAAAUAAGUUGGAUCACCUAUCGCCAUCGUCUUCCCGAAACAUACACUCGGAAAACAACUUUUGUACAACUUAUCCACGACAAUAUUUCGUACAGACUUGGUAGGUAAGGGUAGGCGACGUGAAUGUACUGCGAUAUAUAACUGCUCCCCGCCGCAUCGCGGCGGGUGGUAAAUCUAGUUUAUCUUAAAAUGUAAGAAUCGGGCGAACCCUUAAAAGAAGGCAACGGUUCAGGUCUAAGAAAGGUAUCACGGGUCCUAUACCCUGUUGGGCCCUAUAGAACCAUUUACAAACAAGUUAUUGGGCUU
RNAcentral lists this long non-coding RNA (946 nucleotides) under Helianthus annuus (common sunflower). RNAcentral describes it as "hypothetical non coding rna". The record is from RNAcentral. Lineage: Eukaryota; Viridiplantae; Streptophyta; Magnoliopsida; Asterales; Asteraceae.